RNAcentral lists this ribosomal RNA (323 nucleotides) under uncultured bacterium. RNAcentral's name for it is "bacterial SSU rRNA". It matches the Rfam family "Bacterial small subunit ribosomal RNA", at positions 28 to 334 of the family's 1533-position model. The record is from RNAcentral.
GAUGAACGCUGGCGGCCUGCCUAACACAUGCAAGUCGAGCGAGAAGGUUAUGAUGGAUUCUUCGGAUGACAGAUUAACUGGAAAGCGGCGGACGGGUGAGUAACGCGUGGGUAACCUGCCCUGUACAGAGGAAUAGCCAUUGGAAACGAUGAUUAAUGCCUCAUAAGACUACGACACCACCUGGUGAUGUAGUAAAAACUCCGGUGGUACAGGAUGGACCCGCGUUAGAUUAGUUAGUUGGUGAGGUAACGGCUCACCAAGACUACGAUCUAUAGCCGACCUGAGAGGGUGAUCGGCCACACUGGAACUGAGACACGGUCCAG